Molecule: ribosomal RNA, 253 nt
Filed under: Faecalibacterium prausnitzii
Lineage: Bacteria; Bacillati; Bacillota; Clostridia; Eubacteriales; Oscillospiraceae
Description: partial 16S ribosomal RNA
Rfam family: Bacterial small subunit ribosomal RNA
Source: RNAcentral
AACGUAGGUCACAAGCGUUGUCCGGAAUUACUGGGUGUAAAGGGAGCGCAGGCGGGAGAACAAGUUGGAAGUGAAAUCUAUGGGCUCAACCCAUGAACUGCUUUCAAAACUGUUUUUCUUGAGUAGUGCAGAGGUAGGCGGAAUUCCCGGUGUAGCGGUGGAAUGCGUAGAUAUCGGGAGGAACACCAGUGGCGAAGGCGGCCUACUGGGCACCAACUGACGCUGAGGCUCGAAAGUGUGGGUAGCAAACAGG